GGAACUGAUGGGACUUUAGCCAAUGUACCAGUUAGGGUGUUGGAAAGAUAAUGGUAUGCAAGGGGAACCAGGUUGCUACAGAGGUUUUGCUCGAGUGGGAAAACACCUUUCAAGAGAACUCCACCUGGGAAGACUUGCAGCAACUCCAACAACAAUUUCCUACAUUUGAUCCUUGAGGACAAUGAUCAUUUUAAAAAAG
Molecule: long non-coding RNA, 199 nt
Filed under: Gossypium barbadense (sea-island cotton)
Lineage: Eukaryota; Viridiplantae; Streptophyta; Magnoliopsida; Malvales; Malvaceae
Description: long non-coding RNA (GBAR_LNC016489)
Source: RNAcentral